GAUGAACGCUAGCUACAGGCUUAACACAUGCAAGUCGAGGGGCAGCAUGAACUUAGCUUGCUAAGUUUGAUGGCGACCGGCGCACGGGUGAGUAACACGUAUCCAACCUGCCGAUGACUCGGGGAUAGCCUUUCGAAAGAAAGAUUAAUACCCGAUGGCAUAGUUCUUCCGCAUGGUAGAACUAUUAAAGAAUUUCGGUCAUCGAUGGGGAUGCGUUCCAUUAGGUUGUUGGCGGGGUAACGGCCCACCAAGCCUUCGAUGGAUAGGGGUUCUGAGAGGAAGGUCCCCCACAUUGGAACUGAGACACGGUCCAAA
RNAcentral lists this ribosomal RNA (315 nucleotides) under uncultured bacterium. Its description in RNAcentral is "bacterial SSU rRNA". It matches the Rfam family "Bacterial small subunit ribosomal RNA", at positions 28 to 335 of the family's 1533-position model. The record is from RNAcentral.